AAUGUUACUGUCUGCGAUAUUAGUAAUAGAUUUAGAGAGAGAAGUGUAAAAAUUUGUGAAGAUGGUAUAUCUAAUCAUAAAAUAUAAUUAUGUAGAAUUAUUGGACGAAUUGAGGUGUAACAAAAUUGAGGUUGGUUUUUUAUGCCCUCUAAACGAUGGCUACAGUUCCACUGUGUGUUAUAGAGGUCUAGUGCUCUUGGAAGUGAUAAACUAUAAAUAAAAAGUACUGGAUUUUGACUUUAUGUUACCCUUUGUUGUAGGAACUAUGAUACAUUUGUUUACUGCUUUCUUUCUAUCUUCCUCCUUUUUCUUUGCUUAAACGGCUCUCUAACAGCCUAAAAACUGAUUGGUG
Molecule: unclassified non-coding RNA, 352 nt
Filed under: Hevea brasiliensis (rubber tree)
Lineage: Eukaryota; Viridiplantae; Streptophyta; Magnoliopsida; Malpighiales; Euphorbiaceae
Source: RNAcentral